RNAcentral lists this ribosomal RNA (554 nucleotides) under uncultured archaeon. RNAcentral's name for it is "bacterial SSU rRNA". It matches the Rfam family "Archaeal small subunit ribosomal RNA", at positions 325 to 879 of the family's 1478-position model. The record is from RNAcentral.
ACGGGGUGCAGCAGGCGCGAAAACUUUACAAUGCGGGAAACCGUGAUAAGGGGACACCGAGUGCCAGCAUCAUAUGUUGGCUGUCCAGAUGUGUAAAAUACAUCUGUUAGCAAGGGCCGGGCAAGACCGGUGCCAGCCGCCGCGGUAACACCGGCGGCCCGAGUGGUGAUCGUGAUUAUUGGGUCUAAAGGGUCCGUAGCCGGUUUGGUCAGUCCUCCGGGAAAUCUGACGGCUCAACCGUUAGGCUUUCGGUGGAUACUGCCAGACUUGGAACCGGGAGAGGUAAGAGGUACUACAGGGGUAGGAGUGAAAUCUUGUAAUCCCUGUGAGACCACCUGUGGCGAAGGCGUCUUACCAGAACGGGUUCGACGGUGAGGGACGAAAGCUGGGGGCACGAACCGGAUUAGAUACCCGGGUAGUCCCAGCCGUAAACGAUGCUCGCUAGGUGUCAGGCAUGGCGCGACCGUGUCUGGUGCCGCAGGGAAGCCGUGAAGCGAGCCACCUGGGAAGUACGGCCGCAAGGCUGAAACUUAAAGGAAUUGGCGGGGGAGCAC